Molecule: long non-coding RNA, 195 nt
Organism: Scomber japonicus (chub mackerel)
Lineage: Eukaryota; Metazoa; Chordata; Actinopteri; Scombriformes; Scombridae
Exons: 2
Source: RefSeq, a predicted model, not a curated record
GAAGGAAGGAAGGAAAAGAAAAUGAAGGAAAGAGGGAGGAAGGGAGGAACAGAUGAAUUUAAAUCUCACCAGUCCGCAGUAGACGGUCUCUCCAGACGCCUUCUUCAUCUUCCUCAGCUGGGAGACGAAGUACCAGAAACGGGACUUGGCCACCACAUGGUUGGGGGCGAAGAUCCUCAUCCGGUAGAGGGGGGG